GAUGAACGCUGGCGGCGUGCCUAAUACAUGCAAGUCGAGCGAACAGACGAGGAGCUUGCUCCUCUGACGUUAGCGGCGGACGGGUGAGUAACACGUGGAUAACCUACCUAUAAGACUGGGAUAACUUCGGGAAACCGGAGCUAAUACCGGAUAAUAUAUUGAACCGCAUGGUUCAAUAGUGAAAGACGGUUUUGCUGUCACUUAUAGAUGGAUCCGCACCGCAUUAGCUAGUUGGUAAGGUAACGGCUUACCAAGGCAACGAUGCGUAGCCGACCUGAGAGGGUGAUCGGCCACACUGGAACUGAGACACGGUCCAGACUCCUACGGGAGGCAGCAGUAGGUAAUCUUCCGCAAUGGGCGAAAGCCUGACGGAGCAACGCCGCGUGAGUGAUGAAGGUCUUCGGAUCGUAAAACUCUGUUAUUAGGGAAGAACAAAUGUGUAAGUAACUAUGCACGUCUUGACGGUACCUAAUCAGAAAGCCACGGCUAACUACGUG
This 497-nucleotide ribosomal RNA is filed under the name uncultured bacterium. RNAcentral's name for it is "partial 16S ribosomal RNA". It matches the Rfam family "Bacterial small subunit ribosomal RNA", at positions 28 to 507 of the family's 1533-position model. The record is from RNAcentral.